This 272-nucleotide unclassified non-coding RNA is filed under the name Glomus sp. Its description in RNAcentral is "partial contains 5.8S ribosomal RNA and internal transcribed spacer 2". The stretch from base 1 to 65 matches the Rfam family "5.8S ribosomal RNA", at positions 84 to 154 of the family's 154-position model. The record is from RNAcentral. Lineage: Eukaryota; Fungi; Glomeromycota; Glomeromycetes; Glomerales; Glomeraceae.
GUGAAUCAUCGAAUUUUUGAACGCAAAUUGCACUCUCUUCGUAGAGUAUGCCUGUUUGAGUGUCAGCCUAAAAAAAAAUCUACAUAGUCUCUUUUUCGCGUUUACAUUCGUCGGAAAUUGGGUCAUCUUAAAUCUUUGGGUUUUAAUCGUCUUAAAAUUUUCUUUACGAUUCCACGAACUUUUCUAAUAUUUACUUCUUAUACUCUUAAGGUAUCUAUCGUUAUUAGACUUGUCAGUUGCAUCUGAUACCGAUCAUAAAUAUUUCGUUACCU